This 399-nucleotide ribosomal RNA is filed under the name uncultured bacterium. Its description in RNAcentral is "bacterial SSU rRNA". It matches the Rfam family "Bacterial small subunit ribosomal RNA", at positions 356 to 773 of the family's 1533-position model. The record is from RNAcentral.
GGGGAAUAUUGCACAAUGGAGGAAACUCUGAUGCAGCGACGCCGCGUGAAUGAUGAAGGCCUUCGGGUCGUAAAAUUCUGUCCUUGGGGAAGAUAAUGACGGUACCCAAGGAGGAAGCCCCGGCUAACUACGUGCCAGCAGCCGCGGUAAUACGUAGGGGGCGAGCGUUGUCCGGAAUUAUUGGGCGUAAAGGGUUCGCAGGCGGUCUGAUAAGUCAGAUGUGAAAGGCUAUGGCUCAACCAUAGCAAGCAUUUGAAACUGUCAGACUUGAGUUAAGGAGAGGAAAGUGGAAUUCCUAGUGUAGCGGUGAAAUGCGUAGAUAUUAGGAGGAAUACCAGUGGCGAAGGCGACUUUCUGGACUUAUACUGACGCUGAGGAACGAAAGCGUGGGGAGCAAAC